UACGGGGGGGGCAAGCGUUGUUCGGAAUUACUGGGCGUAAAGGGCUCGUAGGCGGCCAACUAAGUCACACGUGAAAUCCCUCGGCUUAACCGGGGAACUGCGUCUGAUACUGGAUGGCUUGAGUUUGGGAGAGGGAUGCGGAAUUCCAGGUGUAGCGGUGAAAUGCGUAGAUAUCUGGAGGAACACCGGUGGCGAAGGCGGCAUCCUGGACCAACACUGACGCUGAGGAGCGAAAGCCAGGGGAGCAAACGGG
This 253-nucleotide ribosomal RNA is filed under the name uncultured bacterium. Its description in RNAcentral is "partial 16S ribosomal RNA". It matches the Rfam family "Bacterial small subunit ribosomal RNA", at positions 524 to 776 of the family's 1533-position model. The record is from RNAcentral.